GACGAACGCUGGCGGCGUGCUUAACACAUGCAAGUCGAACGGAAAGGCCCUUCGGGGUACUCGUGCGGGGAACGGGUGAGUAACACUUGCGUAACCUUCACCUGCCUUUGGGUUUACCCUCGCUUCCGGAGGCUAAUACUGGUUCCGGAUCGGCUCCGCAUGGGCAUUGUGUGGGUUGUAUGUCGGUUUGGGAUGGGCUCGCGGCCUAUCAGCUUGUUGGUGGGGUGAUGGCCUACCAAGGCGACGACGGGUAGCCGGCCUGAGAGGGCGACCGGCCACACUGGGACUGAGACACGGCCCAGACUCCUACGGGAGGCAGCAGUGGGGAAUAUUGCACAAUGGGCGGAAGCCUGAUGCAGCAACGCCGCGUGAGGGAUGACGGCCUUCGGGUUGUAAACCGCUUUCGGCAGGGACGAAGCGUAAGUGACGGUACCGGCAGAAGAAGCGCCGGCCAACUACGUG
Molecule: ribosomal RNA, 462 nt
Filed under: uncultured bacterium
Lineage: Bacteria
Description: partial 16S ribosomal RNA
Rfam family: Bacterial small subunit ribosomal RNA
Source: RNAcentral